CGGCGGACGGGUGAGUAAUGCCUAGGAAUCUGCCUGGUAGUGGGGGACAACGUUUCGAAAGGAACGCUAAUACCGCAUACGUCCUACGGGAGAAAGCAGGGGACCUUCGGGCCUUGCGCUAUCAGAUGAGCCUAGGUCGGAUUAGCUAGUUGGUGAGGUAAUGGCUCACCAAGGCGACGAUCCGUAACUGGUCUGAGAGGAUGAUCAGUCACACUGGAACUGAGACACGGUCCAGACUCCUACGGGAGGCAGCAGCU
This 257-nucleotide ribosomal RNA is filed under the name uncultured Pseudomonas sp. RNAcentral describes it as "partial 16S ribosomal RNA". It matches the Rfam family "Bacterial small subunit ribosomal RNA", at positions 96 to 355 of the family's 1533-position model. Lineage: Bacteria; Pseudomonadati; Pseudomonadota; Gammaproteobacteria; Pseudomonadales; Pseudomonadaceae. The record is from RNAcentral.